CCCUUAGAUGUCCUGGGCUGCACGCGCGCUACACUGACACGCUCAACGAGUAAUACCUGCUCCGAAGGGACUGGGUAAUCUUGUUAAAUCGUGUCGUGAUGGGGAUAGAUUAUUGCAAUUAUUAAUCUUCAACGAGGAAUUCCUAGUAAGUGUAAGUCAUCAGCUUGCGCUGAUUACGUCCCUGCCCUUUGUACACACCGCCCGUCGCUCCUACCGAUUUCGAGUGGUCCGGUGAAUCUUUCGGACUGCACGUAGCUUCGUGCUAUGUUGCGGAAAGUCAGGUAAACCUUAUCACUUAGAGGAAGGAGAAGUCGUAACA
RNAcentral lists this ribosomal RNA (319 nucleotides) under uncultured eukaryote. Its description in RNAcentral is "partial 18S ribosomal RNA". It matches the Rfam family "Eukaryotic small subunit ribosomal RNA", at positions 1470 to 1796 of the family's 1831-position model. The record is from RNAcentral.